RNAcentral lists this ribosomal RNA (484 nucleotides) under uncultured bacterium. RNAcentral describes it as "partial 16S ribosomal RNA". It matches the Rfam family "Bacterial small subunit ribosomal RNA", at positions 30 to 507 of the family's 1533-position model. The record is from RNAcentral.
AUUGAACGCUGGCGGCAGGCCUAACACAUGCAAGUCGAGCGGAUGAAGGGAGCUUGCUCCUGGAUUCAGCGGCGGACGGGUGAGUAAUGCCUAGGAAUCUGCCUGGUCGUGGGGGAUAACGUCCGGAAACGGGCGCUAAUACCGCAUACGUCCUGAGGGUGAACGUGGGGGAUCUUCGGACCUCACGCUAUCAGAUGAGCCUAGGUCGGAUUAGCUAGUUGGUGAGGUAAAGGCCUACCAAGGCGACGAUCCGUAACUGGUCUGAGAGGAUGAUCAGUCACACUGGAACUGAGACACGGUCCAGACUCCUACGGGAGGCAGCAGUGGGGAAUAUUGGACAAUGGGCGAAAGCCUGAUCCAGCCAUGCCGCGUGUGUGAAGAAGGUCUUCGGAUUGUAAAGCACUUUAAGUUGGGAGGAAGGGCAGUAAGUUAAUACCUUGCUGUUUUGACGUUACCAACAGAAUAAGCACCGGCUAACUUCGUG